GGCUACAAAGAAAAUUGAAUGUUUUUAGAACCAAAGUUAAAACCAUAUCCUUGUACUAUUUCCAGAUUUUCACAUUUCCAGACUACCAACUUAAGAUACAUCCAACUAAGCUAAGGAAUUAUUGGUAUAUUUCCAGAAUUCCACAUUUCCAGACUACUGAGAUAAAUGUGAUGAAUUUGAUGUGCAGCACAUUCCAUUGUGAUGACAUGUUCUGUGCUCUUCUACCCCAAGUUAAAGCCCAAUUUGUUUAUAUUGAGACACAGAACUCCUAACAAUAAUUGCAGAUGUGCACAUCUUAACCCUUUGCUUCCUGGAAGUGAUUAACAUGUAGCUUCUCCUUUUUGUAUCCAUAAGGUAAUGAGAAUACCUUCAAGUUUUUAUCUUGAUCUAACCUCAAAUUCUUGUAAUUAAUUUACAAUGAAAUGUAUAGCAGCUGAAGGGGAGAAGUAGCAAUCAGUCCUUGGAAGUUAAUGGGUUAUAAGCUUCAGAGAAAAGAAAGCAUUAUGGUUAUAGAUGUUAUGAAUACUUAAGAUUAAAAUUGUUAGUAGGUGACAGAUUCACAUGUUCAUGUAAAUAGGGUAUUGAAUAUUUGUUAACUUGUGAAAGAAACUUGAUUAAAAAUAGGGUCAAGCAA
Non-coding RNA from Pocillopora verrucosa, 634 nucleotides. NCBI's taxonomy places the organism in Eukaryota, Metazoa, Cnidaria, Anthozoa, Scleractinia, Pocilloporidae. The record is from RefSeq and is a predicted model, not a curated record.